This 34-nucleotide small RNA is filed under the name Bombyx mori (domestic silkworm). RNAcentral describes it as "ovarian small RNA-13174". Lineage: Eukaryota; Metazoa; Arthropoda; Insecta; Lepidoptera; Bombycidae. The record is from RNAcentral.
CAGCAGAAGGUCCAACAAAGAAGGCUCUUAAUUC